UUGUUCUUUUUGCCACAUGCAGUGAUGAUAGUGCUCGAGCUACUAUUAUGUAGGAGUCUAACAUGCAUCAUAGGAUGAUAUAGCGAUAGCCUAGCAUAAUAAAGAAAAGAAGAAAAAGAAAAGGGCUAAUAGUGUGAAAAAAAUGAAAUUAUUAUGAAGACCGCAUCGGAUGGAUAUAGAGAAUAAAUUAACUACUUCUUUUUAUAGCAAGUGGAUCAUCCGUCUGUCCCCUUCUCUAGUAGGUGAAGGGUGUGGGUAGAGCAGAGGAUAAUAUGGCAGCCAGCCAUCAUCGCACAGAGCAAAGGACAGUGUGGUAGUAGUCCAUCAUCAAAGAUCAAUCCCUAUUUUUUAAUAUAUAUGCUGGCUAUCCAUUUGUUGAUAGGUUUCAAAGGGGAUGUAGGUGACUGGGAGAGGAGCAUGGGAGGGUGCGCAAAAAGCAAAAGAUGGCACCAUAGUGGGCUACAAUCAAAGCCCUUUUCUUAUAAUGUUGGACAUGGGGGUUCACCAACAGGACCUUAGAGAGGAUGUGGGCUAGAAGG
This 539-nucleotide long non-coding RNA is filed under the name Elaeis guineensis (African oil palm). RNAcentral's name for it is "long non-coding RNA (EGUI_LNC020446)". The record is from RNAcentral. Lineage: Eukaryota; Viridiplantae; Streptophyta; Magnoliopsida; Arecales; Arecaceae.